Long non-coding RNA from Daktulosphaira vitifoliae (grape phylloxera), 496 nucleotides. RefSeq lists it as uncharacterized. The transcript is spliced from 3 exons. The record is from RefSeq and is a predicted model, not a curated record. NCBI's taxonomy places the organism in Eukaryota, Metazoa, Arthropoda, Insecta, Hemiptera, Phylloxeridae.
UACAAUGGUAUUAAAUUUAACUUAAUUCAAUUAAUUUAUCAACUUUUAAAAAUAGUUGAUUUUAAUUGGUUUUCUUUAAUGAGCUUUUAUAGAGGUUUUAUGAACUCAAAUUUGAAAUACUCUAUCUUUAGUACACUAUUAUUCGAUGCGAAGCUAAAUCACUGAACCGAUUUUUCUCAACGAUACAAAAAAGAUCAAAAACUUUAUCUAGUCGAAGACACCUUCAAAAAUUAAAAUAUUUUUCCUCAUUCCCCGUAAAUGGGGGAAAUCUUCAAAAAAAAUUAUCAAUGUAUAAAUCGGCAAUUUUUGACAUUUUCUUUUGUAUAAACUUUACAUAACUUUUUUAAAAAUGACUAAAUCAACACAAUUUUUUUUUAUAGAUACAUGCUCAUGUAAUGCCUUAAGGUAUUAACCUAUUGGUACAUUUUUAUAAAUCUGACUCUUUACCUGCCCACACUGUAUGUCAGGGGUACGAGGUUCUAACCCUACCCAUCGA